CCUACGGGUGGCAGCAGUGAGGAAUAUUGGUCAAUGGACGCAAGUCUGAACCAGCCAUGCCGCGUGCAGGAAGACGGCCCUAUGAGUUGUAAACUGCUUUUGUACGGGGGUAAACGCAGAUACGCGUACCUUUCUGAAAGUAUCCUACGAAUAAGGAUCGGCUAACUCCGUGCCAGCAGCCGCGGUAAUACGGGGGAUUCAAGCGUUAUCCGGAUUUAUUGGGUUUAAGGGGUGCGUAGGCGGGUUAUCAAGUCAGCGGUAAAAUCGUGGGGCUCAACUCCAUCCAGCCGUUGAAACUGAUGAUCUUGAGUGGGCGAGAAGUAUGCGGAAGGCGUGGUGUAGCGGUGAAAUGCAUAGAUAUCACGCAGAACUCCGAGUGCGAAGGCAGCAUACCGGCGCGCAACUGACGCUGAAGCACGAAAGCAUGGGUAUCGAACAGGAUUAGAUACCCCUGUAGUC
RNAcentral lists this ribosomal RNA (459 nucleotides) under uncultured bacterium. Its description in RNAcentral is "partial 16S ribosomal RNA". It matches the Rfam family "Bacterial small subunit ribosomal RNA", at positions 338 to 795 of the family's 1533-position model. The record is from RNAcentral.